Non-coding RNA from Vicia faba (fava bean), 264 nucleotides. Lineage: Eukaryota; Viridiplantae; Streptophyta; Magnoliopsida; Fabales; Fabaceae. The record is from the annotation of a GenBank genome assembly.
AUGGAUCCUCUCCCAAUAUUGGAGCAGAAGUUAAAAUUUAUAGCUGUAAGAGUUUGUUACAGGGUGGAUUUCUUUGAGCUUUUGAAUCGAUGCCGGCUACUGGUUUUGGAACUGGUCUUGUUGAUGUCUGCAGGGCAGGUUCUGUUUGGUAUAACAAGGUCCUGUUUUUUUGUUGUUGCAGAUUUCAAACCACAAUUUGAUGUCAAGGUAGAAACUUUGGUGUCAUUUGGCGAGAGGAAGAUAAGCCUUAGGAACUUUAGAUAA